AGGGUUGGAAUUAAAUCUACCCACAUCUAUAAAACAUCUUACAAAACUACCCACUUUGAAAGUCAAAACCGAAAAGUACACUUGAUGGUGAUGGGUUGCUUGGUUUUUUGUAAAAGUUCUUACACUUUUCUUACACAAGUACAAUUGUGUAAGAAAAUGUGUAAGAUAGGUAGUUAAAAAUGCACAAAACCAGAUAAAUGUGCAAUUAUUGUAAGAUGAUUGACGUAUAAUGCCCUAAGUUUGAAAAUAA
This 250-nucleotide long non-coding RNA is filed under the name Salvia miltiorrhiza (redroot sage). RNAcentral's name for it is "long non-coding RNA (SMIL_LNC003837)". The record is from RNAcentral. Lineage: Eukaryota; Viridiplantae; Streptophyta; Magnoliopsida; Lamiales; Lamiaceae.